CUCUAUAAAUACCAGAGCUGAUCAGGCUCUCAAGGUAUAGCUAAUACAAGAGAACUUAAGUGCACUCAAUUUUCUGACCUAUUCUCUCUUUCAUCUUUCUCUUUUACUCACCAUGUCGACCUGCGGCGACUGCGACUGCGCUGAUAAGAGCCAGUGCGUGAAGAAGGGAAACACCUACGGCAUCGAGAUUGUUGAGACCCAAAAGAGCUACUACGAAGAUGCCGUGGUUGAGGUUGCGGCCGCAGCGGAAAACGACGGCAAGUGCAAGUGCGGAGCUGGCUGCACUUGCACUUCCUGCACUUGUGGGCAUUAAACAUUUGCAAUAAUAUACUACAAAAUUGUGUGGGGAACAUGAAAAUGGGUAGAAUUAGUAGUAAAUGUGGUGGUGCAUAAGCUGCUAUCCAUCUUCCAUCUUAUGGGUUUGUGUAAUAAUGUUGGGCAUAAGCCAUAUCUGCUUUUAGUUGCAUAGUUGCUAUGUAAUGGAGUUGUCUACUUUGUUGUCUGUGUUCCUUGUUUAAUAAGAAUUUAAUCAUAUCAUUAUUAGUUUACAA
This is a long non-coding RNA of Macadamia integrifolia, 551 nucleotides long. RefSeq lists it as uncharacterized. The record is from RefSeq and is a predicted model, not a curated record. NCBI's taxonomy places the organism in Eukaryota, Viridiplantae, Streptophyta, Magnoliopsida, Proteales, Proteaceae. The transcript is spliced from 3 exons.